Melozone crissalis (California towhee) is the source of this 297-nucleotide long non-coding RNA. RefSeq lists it as uncharacterized. NCBI's taxonomy places the organism in Eukaryota, Metazoa, Chordata, Aves, Passeriformes, Passerellidae. The transcript is spliced from 3 exons. The record is from RefSeq and is a predicted model, not a curated record.
CUGCCGCCGCCGCUCUCGGCGGCACUGGCGGGGCGGCGGCGGGAGCGGGAGGCUGCCGAGGAUAUCAAACUGGCUUAGGUCCACGAAGACUGUGCUGGUGUCAAGCUGCUUCUGACUUGCCUCCAGGUCUCAGGAGGAAAGGUACAGUUAACAGGGAGCUGGAGCCGUCCAUUUCUGCACUGUCAGCCACCGUGUAGGCCAUGAAUGGGCUCUGCAUCCUCCCUCUGAAUUGCAGAUUUCUCACUCUGUACCAUCCUAAAGGAGGGCUGGUUUUCGUCUACACUGAUCCCACUCAUC